This is a non-coding RNA of Leptonychotes weddellii (Weddell seal), 4144 nucleotides long. Lineage: Eukaryota; Metazoa; Chordata; Mammalia; Carnivora; Phocidae. The record is from RefSeq and is a predicted model, not a curated record.
GGCUCCUAAUCCUCUUGUUUUCGGUACAGUCAGCAGAUGUGGCUUCUUUUAGCUGAAUAAUCCGUUAAGGGAAUAAUAAUUUUAAAAAGGAGAUCGACCUCACCCAAAGAGGAUGGCGAACGAGAUUAGGGCUUGUAGAUCUAUUGCCUGCUUAUGGGCUGGCUGAAACGCUGCGGACUGCGACCAGUCUCUUAAAAAGAACAAAAAGAGGAAGACCUUGAGUGGACCCCAGGACAAAGCACUUUGGGCUCAACAAGAAGCGACGCGCGGGAGCGCUGGCUCCGAACGGGAGUGAUCUCCGGUGCCCAAGAGCGCCCAUCCAGCGUGCGGACCUCUGAGGGGAUCCAGCUGCAUUAGACACGAGUGACCUUUUAAAUCUACGCCCACCCUUCACCUGCAAGAGGACUGCAGCAGGCGAGUUUCGGAAGGCUGCCUCCCCAGAUCCCGGCCCGGAGCGCGGCAGCUCGCCCCUGCGGCACGCCCGGCCAGCCUGCGCCCGCACUCAGCCAGCGAGGAAAAAGCCUGGAUCCGAAAGGAUGGGGGAGAACAAAGAGCCUUUGGAAGACGUCGCUGUUAUCUCAUUGUCUGUGUGAUUGGGGGAGCUGCGGUAGGGAGGAUGCUGUGGUCCUGUUCUCCCUGCCUCCCCACCCCCAUCCUUCUCCCCGCUGUCAGUGCGCACGCACGCGCGCUUCUUUUUACUUCUUUUUCCUUGUUUUCUCAUUCCAUCUUCUCCCCAGCCCCCUUCCUUUCUUGUACCUGUCCUUCCUUCCUCCUUUCCUUCCUCAGGAGAAAGGCCUCUCUCUCCGUGUUCACAGCGGACCUUGAUUUAAAUGUCCAUACAAUUAAGGCACGCGGUGAAUGCCAAGAAUGGGGCUGGCUGAGCACCGUCGGUCCGCGAGGGCCCGCCGGGAAGGAGCCACAGAGCCGAGGCGCCCUCCGCAGAGCUCAGCGCCGCGGCUUGGGGCGGGAGGGGUCUCGGGCUUGCGCUGGCCAGGCUGCCCCAAACCGGAGCCCUUGGGGUGGGGAGGUGUGCAGCUUGUGACAGACAGGGGGGCUUAGAGACGCAGACAGACUCAGGGAGAGAAGCUGAUUCUGUGACAGAAACACAGAUCUGGGCAAGCACAGAUGUGAUGGGGGGCGGGGGGGGUGCCUGUGAGCGCAUUACGGAGUGCUUCUGUGUGCAUAUUUUUCUCUGGGCUGGGGGCGCAUUGUAUGUGGGUCGACACCUUCCAUGGCUGUGUUUUUGUUCUGGGCUUAGCUUUUGGUUUGCCCUUUAAAAAAAUAAUCUGGCAUCCAGAAGACUGGCAGUCUGUGCCAGGGCUUGGACUGCAGAUAUAUUGUGUUCUCCUUGAGGUUGGGGGUGGGGGGGAGGAGGCUGGGUAGCCAGUUGGAAGGGAGGAGGGAGGUAUUUGUCAUUCUUUGCUGUAGAGCUGGGGGCACCUGACAAGCUUAAGGAAGUCAUUGGGAUAUAUGAGAAAGAAGGAACAAACUCCUGGAAGGUUCACAAGCUCCAUCGGGGCUGAAAGCAUGGCCAGGGCUCUUAGGAGCAUCUCACUUCCUCCUUGCGGCUGUAAUUGUAGUUUCAGGCAGAGAUCCAGGACAUGCAGAGGAAGGGAGAGGCGCAAUAACCUACAUGUACCAAAGGGGGGGAGGGAAUGAAUUCCUUCUUAAAUCUGAACCGAAGGAAAAACAGAAUGUGCACAAGUGUUUCUGAGGAAAGACUGUUUUGAAAGAGGCUGUCAGGGAAUAGAAAGGGCUAGCCCUCCCUCAUCCUGAAGAAGCUGCUUCCCAAAUCAGGCCUUCCUCCCCAGCCCUAGAUGGAGAGCAGCAGCUGGUCCUAGGGAGAACCCCUAGCUGCAGCGGAUAGUGGCAAGACCUAAACUCAUAAAUUUCCAGGUGGAGAAAAUGGUAGAGGCGCAGGUCCCUGCAGAGAAAGGAGGCCAAGAGCUGGAUCUUCCCACCAGGAAGCCUGCUGCAUCCCUUUCCCCACCCUUGGCAGAGGCCUGUCUUUGCAAGGCCAAGGCCAUAAGGGAUGCUUGGGAUUUUAGUUUGAUUCCUGACACAUUAAUCGAGGCCUAAAGGAGUCUUGGGUAAAGCUUGCUUGCUUUUCCUGCGCAAAGCCUCAGUCUAACCCACUUAGCAAAUUAGUAUUCAAGGAUACCAUGGAGCCCUAGCCUCAUUUCUUCCCAAAUACUUAUUGAGUACCUACUAUGUGCCAAUCAUUGUGUAAUUAUAUCUUAGGUUCUUCCUUUGCCCUCCUAAAGGAGUGUCUGGAGUCAGGUGAGGCUAAGUGCGCUGUGCCCCCGCUAGAUACUCCCAGAACCUUCUCUGUGGAAAUGUACCACAACCUGCUCACCCCUGCAGAAGGUGGCAGUCUUCAUCAUGCAAACUGUAGGCAUGGUGCUAUCCCUCAAGUCCCAGAAGGCAAGUUUGCCCAAAGGACCGAAAAGAGAGCAGUUUCUCCGGCCCCUGAGCCUUAGCCAACGUUGUCCUAAGAGGCAGCAAAACCCAGGGCCUUCACAACAGACCAGCCUCCAAAUGGAGCCUCCGUGGGGUGUAAAUACCCUUGCCUCCCCCCUCCCUCUUCCCUAAGAAGGCUGCUCUUGUGUUGGGGGUGGGGGAGCACGGUUUAAGCCUCUGAUGACCAACCCUUUGCCCCACGGUUGUCCAAGAUAGUGAGAUUUGUCUCUGUAAUUGCUUCCCCAUGAGUCCAUCAGACGUGGCUUACCCUUCCUCUGAUGCGCCUGCCCGGCAGUACAGUCUCCAGCUCCCUCCCCCACCCAAGUAAUGGGCCUUUUAGGUGGAAACCUAACACGCUUCUCCCUGAGAGCUCAAACCACAGGCACCAUGGACAAGGCCCGCCAGGUUCCUGCUGCUGAAAAACUAGGCAGGGAGGGGCGUAUUUUUUAUUACUUAUGUAAACUCUUGUUCCAGAAAGCUUUAAUGGGUGUGGGAGUGUUCUAGGUUUGCCGGUCUGUGUGCCUGGGUGUGGGGGUUUUCCUGUGUUCACCAGGUCUCAUUAUGAAAUGUAUUGUUAUGUGGGGCUUUAAUGGCCGAAAUGGCAGAGAUGAAUGCACCACUCUGCCCCUGGUGUAAUUUCAAGGCCCCUUUUGUGUUCACCAAAUAGAGGCAUCCGAGUGAAGGUCAGUCCUAGAUCCUUCCCUUCUGCUAUAUUCAGGGCCUGUUUAUACCUAGUGAUACUUACAUAAGAAAACUGAAGAUUUAUGCCCUUCUAAGGCAUUUCUUUAACUCUCAACAUCAUCUGCUUGCUUGUCUACUUGAGCCCCUCUAGUUACAUCCUCUGCCUUAAAUGAAGGGGAAAUAUAUGAUUGUUAAAAGAUGGGACAUGUUGAGGCAGUUUGCUGACUGAAUAUGCCAAGAAAGCCCCCAUGAGUCCACACACAUCACCAUCAUUAUGGUCUUCGUGACUGUGGGAGUUCAUAUGUCCCUCAAGGUGACUGCACCAGAUAUAUUAAGAUGGAUUUAGAAAUGUUAUCAAAGGAAAGAUUGGUAAUAUUAUUCUUUCUCCUGCCAGAGACGGCCCAGGCCCAGAUCUCUGUUUAAGCAGAAAAGAAACAGAUCUUGUAACAAAAGCUAAGGUAAAUUCCGCUAUCAUUUCUAUCACCAAAGGGGUGGGGAGCAGGGACAGUUUUUGUGGCUUAGCCAGAGAAAUGAAUAACUGGGUAGAGUUGCUUUCCCAGCAGGCAUAUGCCCAUACACACACGUAUGUACAUACAUUUUCUCUCAUAACCAUAUCCAUUGCUUACAUUUAUAGAAAAGCAUUUAAACACACACACACACACACACACACACACACACACAUCUAUCCAUCUAUACUGUCUGCACAGGGAGAUAAUUUUCUCUUUCCUUCUACUGAACUUACAUAAUACCCCCACCCCUUGUUCCAACCUUAGAAUGGAGUCCUCUGGGGGCAGCUGCAAAGCACUCUCCCUAGGACAGAUGGAGCCUCCCCUCCUCAUCUACUCUGUGGGUGGUUUUAGAGCCCCAUGAGUCAACUGGGACUGAGGGUUGUGCUGGUGGUAUGUGCGUGUGAGGCUUCCCUGGCUGAUUGACAGCGAUGAGUAUGUCAAUAACAACAAUUAUGAGAAUUAUGAUACCUAAUAAAGAUUUUUUUUUCUUCCAA